GUUAGGAAUAUUGGACAAUGGGCGCAAGCCUGAUCCAGCCAUGCCGCGUGAACGAUGAAGGCCUUCGGGUUGUAAAGUUCUUUAGCCGAUGAUUAUAAUGACUGUAGUCGGAAAAUAAGCCCCGGCUAACUUCGUGCCAGCAGCCGCGGUAAUACGAAGGGGGCGAGCGUUAUUCGGAAUCACUGGGCGUAAAGCGUGCGUAGGCGGUCUCGUAAGUUAGGAGUGAAAGCCCAGGGCUCAACCUUGGAAUUGCUCUUAAUACUGCAAGGCUAGAAUCUCGGAGAGGAUAGCGGAAUUUCCAGUGUAGCAGUGAAAUGCGUAGAUAUUGGAAGGAACACCAGUGGCGUAAGCGGCUAUCUGGACGAGUAUUGACGCUGAGGCACGAAAGCGUGGGGAUCAAACAGGAUUAGAUACCCUUGUAGUCC
Molecule: ribosomal RNA, 425 nt
Filed under: uncultured bacterium
Lineage: Bacteria
Description: partial 16S ribosomal RNA
Rfam family: Bacterial small subunit ribosomal RNA
Source: RNAcentral